This 497-nucleotide ribosomal RNA is filed under the name uncultured bacterium. Its description in RNAcentral is "partial 16S ribosomal RNA". It matches the Rfam family "Bacterial small subunit ribosomal RNA", at positions 28 to 507 of the family's 1533-position model. The record is from RNAcentral.
GAUGAACGCUGGCGGCGUGCCUAAUACAUGCAAGUCGAGCGAACAGAUGAGGAGCUUGCUCCUCUGACGUUAGCGGCGGACGGGUGAGUAACACGUGGAUAACCUACCUAUAAGACUGGGAUAACUUCGGGAAACCGGAGCUAAUACCGGAUAAUAUAUUGAACCGCAUGGUUCAAUAGUGAAAGACGGUUUUGCUGUCACUUAUAGAUGGAUCCGCGCCGCAUUAGCUAGUUGGUAAGGUAACGGCUUACCAAGGCAACGAUGCGUAGCCGACCUGAGAGGGUGAUCGGCCACACUGGAGCUGAGACGCGGUCCAGACUCCUACGGGAGGCAGCAGUAGGGAAUCUUCCGCAAUGGGCGAAAGCUUGACGGAGCAACGCCGCGUGAGUGAUGAAGGUCUUCGGAUCGUAAAACUCUGUUAUUGGGGAAGAACAACUGUGUAAGUAACUAUGCACGUCUUGACGGUACCGAAUCAGAAAGCCACGGCUAACUACGUG